This 61-nucleotide transfer RNA is filed under the name Vespula vulgaris. Its description in RNAcentral is "tRNA-Ser". The record is from RNAcentral. Lineage: Eukaryota; Metazoa; Arthropoda; Insecta; Hymenoptera; Vespidae.
GAAAUAACUCAGAUAAAGCUUCUAACUUUAUGAUAAUGAACUAAAUAUUCAUUUUAUUUCU